Non-coding RNA from Procambarus clarkii (red swamp crayfish), 143 nucleotides. The record is from RefSeq and is a predicted model, not a curated record. NCBI's taxonomy places the organism in Eukaryota, Metazoa, Arthropoda, Malacostraca, Decapoda, Cambaridae.
UAUAUAUAUACCUUUUUGUUGUUCAACUGCAUCACGUGACUUUUUUAUUCUCGGUGUCAAAAUUCACACUUAGAUUUACACACUCACAAGUGUGUGUGUGUCUUUUUUUAUCCUAUGUUAUUAUGUGUGAGAUCGGAAGAGCA